AUGUGCACCAGGAGCAGAGUAGGAGCCAGGCACAAGAAGCAUCAGUGUGGGAGAGGAAGGCCAAAUGAGUCCAAGGAACGUCCUGUACUUCCCACUUGGAGAGAAGGGGGAGCAGAAGCCCCCCCAGGGGCACGAGCCAGGUCAGCUGCUGUCACUGGAGAGACAUGGCUGGGCAGCUGGCAUCACAGGUCUGGCAGAACAGCAGCCGCUAACCCCCAGUUUGUAUCCAUGGCAGUGCUCCUUCGCUCUGUGUAAUGUCUGCCCGUAACCCAUCCACCAUCACUGGCUCCGUUUACCUCCUCUCAUAACCGCAUCUCUCCCCUGUCGGAUGAAAGGCUCACUCCCUUGGAUAGCUGUUAAAAUGGCUUCCUUGUUAAGGGAAUGUGUCUUUGUUUAGCCCUUAUUAUCAAAGGAUUUUUUCCUUGAUGUUCUAAAGUUUCAGGAACACAGUUCGCCACUUCCGUGACAUAAUGUGUUCUUGUCCCACUGGUGCACUGCCAUCUGAGUUACGUCGCCCAUGACCUAUUACAUAGCUGCAGAUGGUUGCUUUAAGAUACGAAUCGAGCCAUAUCCCACCCAUCGCUUGGAAAUGUUGUGAUCUUUAGUUGUAUUGCUCUACCCUAUUGCCAACAACUUGUCAGUUUAUUUUGUUUGUUUUUAGUUUUUGAGAGAGGAGAGAUAGCGAGUGCGAGCUCAGGGAGGGGCCAAGGAAGAGAAAGAGAAUCUUAAGCAGGGUCCAUACUCAGCACAGAACCCGACACGGGGCUCCAUCCCAUGACACUUAGAUCAUGAACUGAGCUGAAACCAAGAGUCGGACACUCAACCGAGUGAGCCCCCCAGGCACCCCAACUUCUCAGAUUAUAGUCUGUCAAUUUGCAGACCAAAUUUUUUUUAUUUAUUUUUUUUUAUGAAAUUUAUUGGCAAAUUCGUUUCCAUACAACACCCAGGGCUCAUCCCAACAGGUGCCCUCCUCAAUGCCCAUCGCCCACCCCCCAUCAACCCUCAGUUUAUUCUCAGUUUUUAAGAGUCUCUUAUGGUUUGGCUCCCUUCCUCUCUAACUUUUUUUUUCCUUCCCCUCCCCCAUGGUCUUCUGUUAAGUUUCUCGGGAUCCACAUAAGAGUGAAAACAUAUGGUAUCUGUUUUUCUCUGUAUGGCUUAUUUCACUUAGCACAACACUCUCCAGUUCCAUCCACGUUGCCGCAAAAGGCCAUAUUUCAUUCUUUCUCAUUGGCACAUAGUAUUCCAUUGUGUAUAU
This 1255-nucleotide long non-coding RNA is filed under the name Felis catus (domestic cat). Its description in RNAcentral is "lncRNA (ENSFCAG00000053310.1)". The record is from RNAcentral. Lineage: Eukaryota; Metazoa; Chordata; Mammalia; Carnivora; Felidae.